GACGAACGCUGGCGGCGCGCUUAACACAUGCAAGUCGAACGGAAAGGCCUGCUUUCCCUUGUGGAUUGCGGGUACUCGAGUGGCGAACGGGUGAGUAACACGUGAGUGAUCUGCCCCCAACUUGGGUAUAAGCCUGGGAAACUGGGUCUAAUUCCCGAUAGGACUGCAGGGUGGUGCCUGUGGUGGAAAACGAUUUUCUAGUGGUUGGGGAUGAGCUCGCGGCCUAUCAGCUUGUUGGUGGGGUAAUGGCCUACCAAGGCGGCGACGGGUAGCCGGCCGGGGAGGGUGGACGGCCACAUUGGGACUGAGAUACGGCCCAGACUCCUACGGGAGGCAGCAGUGGGGAAUAUUGCACAAUGGGCGGAAGCCUGAUGCAGCGACGCCGCGUGGGGGAUGACGGCCUUCGGGUUGUAAACUCCUUUCGACCGCGAGGAAGCCACCUGGUUGGAAGGGUGGUGACGGUAGUGGUAGAAGAAGCACCGGCUAACUACGUG
Molecule: ribosomal RNA, 494 nt
Filed under: uncultured bacterium
Lineage: Bacteria
Description: partial 16S ribosomal RNA
Rfam family: Bacterial small subunit ribosomal RNA
Source: RNAcentral